RNAcentral lists this ribosomal RNA (459 nucleotides) under uncultured bacterium. RNAcentral's name for it is "bacterial SSU rRNA". It matches the Rfam family "Bacterial small subunit ribosomal RNA", at positions 27 to 507 of the family's 1533-position model. The record is from RNAcentral.
GAACGAACGCUGGCGGCGUGGAUAAGACAUGCAAGUCGAACGAGAGAAUUGCUAGCUUGCUAAUAAUUCUCUAGUGGCGCACGGGUGAGUAACACGUGAGUAACCUGCCCCCAAGAGUGGGAUAGCCCCGGGAAACUGGGAUUAAUACCGCAUAAAAUCGCAAGAUUAAAGCAGCAAUGCGCUUGGGGAUGGGCUCGCGUCCUAUUAGUUAGUUGGUGAGGUAACGGCUCACCAAGGCGAUGACGGGUAGCCGGUCUGAGAGGAUGUCCGGCCACACUGGAACUGAGACACGGUCCAGACACCUACGGGUGGCAGCAGUCGAGAAUCAUUCACAAUGGGGGAAACCCUGAUGGUGCGACGCCGCGUGGGGGAAUGAAGGUCUUCGGAUUGUAAACCCCUGUCAUGUGGGAGCAAAUUAAAAAGAUAGUACCACAAGAGGAAGAGACGGCUAACUCUGUG